AAAGCUUUAGCUUAAUUAAAGCGUCUGGGUUGCAUUCAGAAGAUGUGGGUUAAUCUCCUGCAAGUUUUA
This 69-nucleotide transfer RNA is filed under the name Hyphessobrycon elachys. RNAcentral describes it as "tRNA-Ala". It matches the Rfam family "tRNA". Rfam says of the family: Transfer RNA (tRNA) molecules are approximately 80 nucleotides in length. Their secondary structure includes four short double-helical elements and three loops (D, anti-codon, and T loops). Further hydrogen bonds mediate the characteristic L-shaped molecular structure. tRNAs have two regions of fundamental functional importance: the anti-codon, which is responsible for specific mRNA codon recognition, and the 3' end, to which the tRNAs corresponding amino acid is attached (by aminoacyl-tRNA synthetases). tRNAs cope with the degeneracy of the genetic code in two manners: having more than one tRNA (with a specific anti-codon) for a particular amino acid; and 'wobble' base-pairing, i.e. permitting non-standard base-pairing at the 3rd anti-codon position. Lineage: Eukaryota; Metazoa; Chordata; Actinopteri; Characiformes; Acestrorhamphidae. The record is from RNAcentral.